GAACUGCUGAGGAGUCCCAAAAGAGGAGGAGACGGCCGUCCAGUGC
This is a non-coding RNA of Schistosoma rodhaini, 46 nucleotides long. The record is from Rfam. Lineage: Eukaryota; Metazoa; Platyhelminthes; Trematoda; Strigeidida; Schistosomatidae.